UAGUGCUUCCAAACUGAGUUACA
This 23-nucleotide non-coding RNA is filed under the name Arabidopsis thaliana (thale cress). Lineage: Eukaryota; Viridiplantae; Streptophyta; Magnoliopsida; Brassicales; Brassicaceae. The record is from RNAcentral.